This is a non-coding RNA of Myotis brandtii (Brandt's bat), 429 nucleotides long. NCBI's taxonomy places the organism in Eukaryota, Metazoa, Chordata, Mammalia, Chiroptera, Vespertilionidae. The record is from the annotation of a RefSeq genome assembly.
AUGGCCAGUCUUAUCCUGUCCAAAUCUUCCAGGGGCCCUCAGCUCCUCUGCUGCUUGGCCCUCUGUCUCCUGGGGGCAGGUUCAGUGGCUGCUGGAGUUACCCAGUCCCCAAGACAUGUAAUCAAAGGCCAAGGGGGGAUGGUCAUUCUGAAGUGCCACCCCAUCUCCGGACACAGAAGUGUGUACUGGUACCAGCAGACUCUGGGACAUGGCCCUCAGUUCCUCGUUGAAUAUUUUGAAAAGGAGGAGAGAGAAAAAGGGAGCAUCCCUGAUCGGUUCUCAGGAAAACAGUCCAGUGACUACAGCUCUGAGCUGACCCUGAGCGCCUUGCAACUGGGAGACUCAGCUGUGUAUCUCUGUGCCAGCAGCUUAGACACAGCCCUGCAGGAUCAAUGGCUUUCUGUACUCAAACCUCCCUGCCCCAGCUGA